Molecule: long non-coding RNA, 278 nt
Filed under: Elaeis guineensis (African oil palm)
Lineage: Eukaryota; Viridiplantae; Streptophyta; Magnoliopsida; Arecales; Arecaceae
Description: long non-coding RNA (EGUI_LNC047721)
Source: RNAcentral
ACAGGAGAAAGUCUGGAAGAGAUUCGGAGAGUAGUCGAUCACUAUAGAAAGUCGGCUGAUAGUGAAGCCUAGAGAGCCUUUGGAGCAGUCCGAUAGACGACUGAAGGAGCUCAUUAUUGGAGAAGUUUGGAGGGUACGAUAGGAGUUCGUCCAUUGAAAGAAUCUGGAGGACACUGUAGAAGGUCGACUACUGGAGGAGUCCGGAUAGUAUCGUGGAAGCUCGGACAGUCGGGGUAGUUCAGAAAAACAUCGCAUAAGGUCGGAAGCCGGAAGAGUCC